Argentina anserina (silverweed cinquefoil) is the source of this 2626-nucleotide RNA transcript. It is a transcript of the gene named pentatricopeptide repeat-containing protein At1g08070, chloroplastic-like, with no coding region annotated. The record is from RefSeq and is a predicted model, not a curated record. The transcript has 3 exons. NCBI's taxonomy places the organism in Eukaryota, Viridiplantae, Streptophyta, Magnoliopsida, Rosales, Rosaceae.
UUGUUUGGUUUGCCACUGAAAGCAUUUCCUCCUCAGACUUCAACUCUAGCUUCCCCGUAAUCCAGUUGUCUAGAAAACCCAACCUCACUGCUCAACUCCACCGUCUAAAUCAUCUGACCACCACCAAUCUCAACUGGCUACUUCUCCCCUGUUUUUCUGGAGCUGAACCCGCUUCAGUCCAAACUUGAUGCUUCAGUUGUUCCAGCAACUCGAUGUUUAAGGUUUUAAGGAUGUCCCAAACUAGAGCUAUGACAGCGACUCUGUGGCACAACCAUUCCUAAUGCAAAACACAAAACCGAUCCCAAACAGUUCAUGUGGUCUGUCCUUGCAUUCCGGAGAGAACUCAAACACAUCAUAUCCCUCCCAUUUCAUUUCAGUCCUAAUAACUACCAUUCACUCCCCUUGAACCCCAUUUUACAGUCUUGCGCUUCUCUUUCAGACCUUAAAUGCAUCCAUGCGAAAAUUAUUGAAACUGGGUAUUGUCAAAACCUCCCCAUUAUAACCAAGCUUGUAUCUUUGGCUUCCUCUACGGCGCCUACCAUGGAUUAUGCAAGGAACCUGUUUGAUGCAAUGCCAGAAAGGGAUGUUUUUCUCUGGAACACCCUGAUCAGGGGCUAUGCUGAUCGGGGACCUUGUCAUGAAGCCAUAGUUUUGUACAGGGAAAUGCAUCGAAGUGGUUUUUCACCCGAUAAAUAUACUUUUCCCUUUGUAGUUCGGUCUUGUGCGGUGCAGUCGGCUUUGACAGAAGGGAAAGAAGUGCAUUGUAACAUAACUAAAAAUGGAUUUAGUUCUGAUCUAUAUGUUCAGAGCUCCUUGGUGAGUAUGUAUGCGCAGAACGGUGAAACUUUGAACUCUGAGUUUGUUUUUAAUGAGAUCGUUGUGAAGAACAUAGUUUCCUGGACUGCAAUGGUAGCAGGCUAUGUAAAAAAUGGGUUCUAUAGAGAAGGGUUGAGAGUUUUGCAAGACAUGUUGGCUUCAGGUUCCCGGCCAAAUGUGGUUACACUGGUGAGCAUCCUCCCUGCUUGUGCUAGUUUAGCAUAUUUGGAUUUAGGAAAACUGAUUCAUUGUCAUGGAGUUAAAGUAGGAUUUGACUCAGAUAUGUCACUCAUGAAUGCUUUGAUUGCAUUUUAUGGCAAGUGUGGGAAUCUUGAAACAUCAAUAUCUUUAUUCGAUGGGAUGGUAGUAAGAAACCUAGUCACGUGGAAUGCCAUGAUUGCUGCUUUUGAACAGAACAAUGCAGGAACAGCCGCAAUAAAGCUCUUUUGUAGGAUGCAAAAUGAAAAUGUGGAGUAUGACUAUAUCACAAUAGUCAGUGUUAUUUCAGCCUGUGCUAGCUUGGGUGCAUUGGACAUUGGGAAACGUUUGCAUGAGAUUGUAGAAAGGAACGGAUUUGGAACCAAUAUUUCAAUCACAAAUGCACUCAUUGACAUGUAUGCAAAGUGUGGGAAUAUUGAUCUGGCCAAGGAUGUUUUUGAGAAAUUGUCACAAAAAAGUGUUGUAUCCUGGACAUCUAUAAUAGGGGCUUGUGCAUCUCAUGGUCAUGGAGAUGAUGCUCUCAUGCUUUUCUCAAUGAUGAAAGAAAAGGGUAUAAAACCAAACAGUUUCACUUUUACAGCUGUUUUGACCGCUUGUAGGCACUCAGGGCUAGUAGAUGAAGGGAGAAAGCAUUUUGAGGGCAUGAUGAAAGAUUACUCCCUUGUCCCUGGUGUAGAGCACUAUUCCUGUAUGGUUGAUCUUCUUGGGCGAGCUGGUUGUUUGUUAGAAGCUUAUAAAUUUAUUGAGAGGAUGCCGGUUGAGCCAGACACUGGUGUUUGGGGAGCUUUACUUGGUGCUUGCAGGACAUAUGGCAAUGUUGAGCUUGGUGAACUUGUGGCAGCCCAUUUGUCUGAACUAGAGCCUCAAAUUACUACUCCCUAUGUACUUAUGUUAAUAAUUUAUGCUGAAGCUGGUAGGUGGGAAGAUGAAGCUAGGUUGAGAAACUUGAUGAGACAGAAGGAGUUGAAAAAAUUACCAGGGCAAAGUUUUGUUGAGGUUGAUCAAAGAUUGUAUACAUUUUUAUCAGGUUCAAGAUCCCAACUAAAAUCCCAACCAAUGCUGACCUCAUGCUAAAUACAUAUGUGCCCUCCAUCUUUGACAUUACUCCUCGCAUCAGUUUCAUUUGGCUCAAAACUCACCAGUAUGAUCUGCAGCAUAUGAUGCUGAUACUUGUGAGACCCAGCCAAGGACAUCAUGACAUAGCAUAUGGCUCUAAAGAGGUAUGUAGUUACCGUGGACUGAGUUAAACUCUUCAUCUUAACUGUGCAUACUGCAUAUUACAUACCGGGGUUACAAGACCUGACGAGGUAUCUUUUUUCUGUAUCUGUAUCUGCAUCCCAUCUAAUCUAUAUCUGUAAGCUUCUGAGAUACGAAGUUUAUAUAUAGUCCCCUCUGGAAAGAGAUAGUUGCACCGUCUUACAUAUAAGUUCUUGCUAAUUAACUUAGUUGAGAGAUAUAUUUAAUUUAUUUCCAUCAAAGUUUAUGCUAGUUUUGUUGUAGAUUCUUUGCUACACAUCUAAUUGUAUGGGAUUAAGAGUUGGAAUACCUUAUUGGAAUAUAUCAAUUUGUGCACUGUUGCUUACGCUUCUGA